GCCCCGACAUCAAUUAAAGUCCGGUCAUUCAAGACCAGAAGAGAAAAAGGGGGGACCUUCCCCAGCGGCCCCUUCGCAAUAAGACUCCGUCCGGACUCCUACGAGAGCCUGACUUCAUCCCCGACUUCGACCACCGAUAAACUCCGUCCGGACUCCCACGGGAACCGGACUCCGUCUCCAACUCCGGCUACAGGCAAACCCCGCUCGGAUUCCUA
This 215-nucleotide long non-coding RNA is filed under the name Elaeis guineensis (African oil palm). Its description in RNAcentral is "long non-coding RNA (EGUI_LNC073548)". The record is from RNAcentral. Lineage: Eukaryota; Viridiplantae; Streptophyta; Magnoliopsida; Arecales; Arecaceae.